GCAAGUCAAACGGAACUUUUUUAGGUCGAGAUUGAGAUUAUAUCAAGGUCAAAGACUUUUUAAGUUUAGUGGCGAACGGGGUAGUAACGCGUGGGAACUUAAACAGAAGUCAGGAAUAGCCCAUCGAAAGGUGGAUUAAUACUUGAUAGACCCUCCGGGGUAAAGAUUUAUCGCUUCUGGGAAGGCCUGCGUAGUAUCAGCUAGUUGGUAAGGUAAUGGCUUACCAAGGCUAUGACGCUUAGGGGAGCUGAGAGGCUGACC
RNAcentral lists this ribosomal RNA (261 nucleotides) under uncultured bacterium. RNAcentral describes it as "partial 16S ribosomal RNA". It matches the Rfam family "Bacterial small subunit ribosomal RNA", at positions 57 to 305 of the family's 1533-position model. The record is from RNAcentral.